GCGCGGGAGCGCGCGCGCGCGUGUGUGAGUCUUUAAAUUUGAAGAAAUGUAAUUGUUUUCAUUUUUUCUUUUGUGAACAAUAUUCCUUAUCAUCUGCAAUGAAGUCUGACGUUUGAUUCGGAAAAGUGUAAUCAGCAUCUAUUUUCUUCUCGUUCUGGUCCGUUGCCUGUCCUUUUCGCAAUGUGGUCAGGAAUGGAGCCGGCGACAUGACCGCAACAAAGCAAGGCGACGAUCCUCGGCAGCCCCGACCGCGGCGCCACCCGCCCGAAAGCACCUACAGCCCCAAGGAUGCGACCCAAAGAGGG
Frankliniella occidentalis (western flower thrips) is the source of this 305-nucleotide long non-coding RNA. RefSeq lists it as uncharacterized. The transcript has 3 exons. The record is from RefSeq and is a predicted model, not a curated record. Lineage: Eukaryota; Metazoa; Arthropoda; Insecta; Thysanoptera; Thripidae.